RNAcentral lists this transfer RNA (72 nucleotides) under Bos taurus (domestic cattle). It matches the Rfam family "tRNA". From Rfam's summary of the family: Transfer RNA (tRNA) molecules are approximately 80 nucleotides in length. Their secondary structure includes four short double-helical elements and three loops (D, anti-codon, and T loops). Further hydrogen bonds mediate the characteristic L-shaped molecular structure. tRNAs have two regions of fundamental functional importance: the anti-codon, which is responsible for specific mRNA codon recognition, and the 3' end, to which the tRNAs corresponding amino acid is attached (by aminoacyl-tRNA synthetases). tRNAs cope with the degeneracy of the genetic code in two manners: having more than one tRNA (with a specific anti-codon) for a particular amino acid; and 'wobble' base-pairing, i.e. permitting non-standard base-pairing at the 3rd anti-codon position. The record is from Rfam by way of RNAcentral. RNAcentral also lists the same sequence under 3 other names. Lineage: Eukaryota; Metazoa; Chordata; Mammalia; Artiodactyla; Bovidae.
UCCCUGGUGGCCUAGUGGUUAGGAUUCCAAGCUUUCACUGUGGUGACCCGGGUUCAAUCCCUGGUCGGGGAA